CCUCUUCCGUACGGUGAACCUGCGGAAGGAUCAUUAUCGAGUUUUGAAUGGGUUGUCUGCUGGCUCGCAAGGGCAUGUGCACGCCUGUCUCAUCCACUCUCAACUUCUGUGCACUUUUCAUAGGCCGGCUUGUGGGUGCGUUCGCGCACUUGUAGGUGUCGGGCUUAUGCUUUACUACAAACGAUUCAGUUUUAGAAUGUCAUACUUUGCUAUAACGCAAUUAUAUACAACUUUCAGCAACGGAUCUCUUGGCUCUCGCAUCGAUGAAGAACGCAGCGAAAUGCGAUAAGUAAUGUGAAUUGCAGAAUUCAGUGAAUCAUCGAAUCUUUGAACGCACCUUGCGCUCCUUGGUAUUCCGAGGAGCAUGCCUGUUUGAGUCUCAUGGAAUUCUCAACCUUCAGCUUUAUUGAUGAAGGCUUGGACUUGGAGGUCGUGCCGGCUCUCGUAGUCGGCUCCUCUGAAAUGCAUUAGUGCGAACGUUACCAGCCGCUUCAGCGUGAUAAUUAUCUGCGUUGCUGUGGAGGGUAUUCUAGUGUUCACGCUUCUAACCGUCUUCGGACAAAUUUCUGAACUCUGAGCUCAAAUCAGGUAGGACUACCCGCUGAACUUAAGCAUAUCAAUAAGCCGGAGGAAGA
Molecule: ribosomal RNA, 635 nt
Filed under: Bjerkandera sp. PTY1
Lineage: Eukaryota; Fungi; Basidiomycota; Agaricomycetes; Polyporales; Phanerochaetaceae
Description: eukaryotic LSU rRNA
Rfam family: 5.8S ribosomal RNA (bases 229-382)
Source: RNAcentral